RNAcentral lists this long non-coding RNA (1209 nucleotides) under Homo sapiens (human). Its description in RNAcentral is "HSALNT0028979". Lineage: Eukaryota; Metazoa; Chordata; Mammalia; Primates; Hominidae. The record is from RNAcentral.
GGAAGUGCAAGACCAAGGGGUGCACAUAGUCUGAACAUCUAAGUCUUAAUUACCAUAGUGAUAAAUGAUCUGGGGGAAGAGGUGCGCAGUGGAAUCUCCAAGGUCAUGUGCCAGGUAGUGAGCUGAGAGUGGCAGAAAGGAGGCUGCGUGGGAUGUGACCGAGCUGCGUGGGAGGGCAGACACCUGCCCGCUGAGUGUCAGUGUGGGCAAGAGGAAGGUAAUAACAGCUGAAGGAAAACAAUUUAAUGAACUGAAAACCAUUACUUAAAGUUGUAAAUCCACCAUCCAGCCUGCCCUGGCUUCCAGCCUCCUCCUCCCACCCCCACCCCCACCCCGCCAAAAAAAUCAAGAACAUGCAGAUAGCAAUACUAAAAACAAAACAUCAUGAUUGCAUCUUGGUACCAAAUUAUUAUAAAUUGACACCAUAAUGUGUGUCGUUCUGUUCUCUGCCAUUUACAGAUGGCGUGACAGGACUGGAAGGGCUCCAGGAGAGAGUAAUUAAAAUGAUUAGCAGAAAGCGGGUCCUUCACAGGAGGCAAAAAAAACCAAACUCCAUCCUUCAGCGGAAAGUGAGAGCUUGGCCGUGACACGCCAAAGGUGUGCACAGUCAGAACACAGACAAUGGUGCCGAAUCUCACAGUACCAGCAGUACAGGAUAGCGCGCCAUCAGUGGUUGACAGAGGCAGAUUUGGAAGAAAUGAAUAGGAACUGCUAUUUUGCGUGGCAGAUAACGUGGAUAUCCUUACCCCCAGAGGCUGACACAUGAGUCCUCCGUCUUGUCCAAAUGUGGAAUGAAGAUGGCACAGAAGACCAGCUCGUGGGCCUCUGGGUGGGAUUCGGAGGGCUGGGAAGAGAGGCAGUGCUGGACGGUGGUGUUGGUCUUUACUCUCUGUAUUAACCUGUGGAUUAUGAGAGCCUGUGACAAAUCACAUGGAAAACCUUUCAAGACAAAACUUUCUAAGAUUUAUCUUGUGAACAGCAGUUGUGUUCUUCAAUAAAACCGUCCUUAGGUGUCAAGCUGAAGUUUGGACUGGACUGGAUAGCUAGCGAGACUUCUAUUGUAGUAUUUUCUGGGUGCUAGGAUCACAGGUGUGAGUAGCUAUCAUUCUGCCACACCGUGCAAAGCUCAUGAGGCCAGAGGCUAGAUGGCACCCCAAAAUAUCCCCAAGAAUUACUCCAAAAGGCAAUCCAGAGGCCAGAGUAUCCAAG